AUUGAACGCUGGCGGCAUGCUUUACACAUGCAAGUCGAACGGCAGCGCGGGCUUCGGCCUGGCGGCGAGUGGCGAACGGGUGAGUAAUACAUCGGAACGUGCCCAGUAGUGGGGGAUAGCUCGGCGAAAGCCGGAUUAAUACCGCAUACGACCUGAGGGUGAAAGCGGGGGAUCUUCGGACCUCGCGCUAUUGGAGCGGCCGAUGCCAGAUUAGCUAGUUGGUGGGGUGAAGGCCUACCAAGGCGACGAUCUGUAGCUGGUCUGAGAGGACGACCAGCCACACUGGGACUGAGACACGGCCCAGACUCCUACGGGAGGCAGCAGUGGGGAAUUUUGGACAAUGGGCGAAAGCCUGAUCCAGCAAUGCCGCGUGUGUGAUGAAGGCCUUCGGGUUGUAAAGCACUUUUGGCGGGAACGAAAAGGACUGUGCCAAUACCACGGUUCGAUGACGGUACCCGCAGAAUAAGCACCGGCUAACUACGUG
This 484-nucleotide ribosomal RNA is filed under the name uncultured bacterium. RNAcentral describes it as "partial 16S ribosomal RNA". It matches the Rfam family "Bacterial small subunit ribosomal RNA", at positions 29 to 507 of the family's 1533-position model. The record is from RNAcentral.